UACGUAGGGGCGAGCGUUGUCCGGAUUUAUUGGGCGUAAAGAGCGUGUGGGCGGCCAGGUAGGUCGGUUGUGAAAACUGGAGGCUCAACCUUCAGAGGUCGACCGAAACCAUCUGGCUAGAGUCCGGGAGAGGAGAGUGGAAUUCCUGGUGUAGCGGUGAAAUGCGCAGAUAUCAGGAAGAACACCCGUGGCUAAGGCGGCUCUCUAGUACGGUACUGACGCUGAGACGCGAAAGCGUGGGGAGCGAACAGG
RNAcentral lists this ribosomal RNA (252 nucleotides) under uncultured bacterium. RNAcentral's name for it is "partial 16S ribosomal RNA". It matches the Rfam family "Bacterial small subunit ribosomal RNA", at positions 524 to 776 of the family's 1533-position model. The record is from RNAcentral.